AAAGUCCCGCAAGGGAUUAGUAGAGUGGCAAACGGGUGAGUAACACGUGGGUGACCUGCCCUCGAGCGGGGGAUAACGUCCCGAAAGGGACGCUAAUACCGCAUGACAUCCUGCCUUUGAACAGGCGGAGAUCAAAGCUGGGGAUCGCAAGACCUAGCACUCGAAGAGGGGCCCGCGCCUGAUUAGCUAGUUGGUGAGGUAAUGGCUCACCAAGGCUACGAUCAGUAUCCGGCCUGAGAGGGCGGACGGACACACUGGGACUGAGACACGGCCCAGACUCCUACGGGAGGCAGCAGUGGGGAAUUGUUCGCAAUGGGCGCAAGCCUGACGACGCAACGCCGCGUGGAGGAUGAAGACCUUCGGGUCGUAAACUCCUUUCGAUCGAGACGAAUGGCCUCCGGGUGAACAAUCCGGAGGAGUGACGGUACCGAGAGAAGAAGCCCCGGCUAACUCCGUGCCAGCAGCCGCGGUAAUACGGGGGGGGCAAGCGUUGUUCGGAAUUACUGGGCGUAAAGGGCUCGUAGGCGGCCAACUAAGUCAGACGUGAAAUCCCUCGGCUUAACCGGGGAACUGCAUCUGAUACUGGAUGGCUUGAGUUCGGGAGAGGGAUGCGGAAUUCCAGGUGUAGCGGUGAAAUGCGUAGAUAUCUGGAGGAACACCGGUGGCGAAGGCGGCAUCCUGGACCGACACUGACGCUGAGGAGCGAAAGCCAGGGGAGCAAACGGGAUUAGAUACCCCGGUAGUCCUGGCCCUAAACGAUGAAUGCUUGGUGUGGCGGGUAUCGAUCCCUGCCGUGCCG
RNAcentral lists this ribosomal RNA (799 nucleotides) under uncultured Pseudomonadota bacterium. RNAcentral's name for it is "bacterial SSU rRNA". It matches the Rfam family "Bacterial small subunit ribosomal RNA", at positions 71 to 848 of the family's 1533-position model. The record is from RNAcentral. Lineage: Bacteria; Pseudomonadati; Pseudomonadota.